UCCCGGGUGGUGUAAUUGGCAACACGUCGCGCUCUGAACGCGAAGACUCGAGGUUCGAGACCUUGCCCGGGAG
The sequence is a transfer RNA, 73 nucleotides long. It matches the Rfam family "tRNA". From Rfam's summary of the family: Transfer RNA (tRNA) molecules are approximately 80 nucleotides in length. Their secondary structure includes four short double-helical elements and three loops (D, anti-codon, and T loops).